This 253-nucleotide ribosomal RNA is filed under the name uncultured bacterium. RNAcentral describes it as "partial 16S ribosomal RNA". It matches the Rfam family "Bacterial small subunit ribosomal RNA", at positions 524 to 776 of the family's 1533-position model. The record is from RNAcentral.
GACGAAGGGGGCUAGCGUUGUUCGGAAUUACUGGGCGUAAAGGGCGCGUAGGCGGCGUGUCAAGUCAGGCGUGAAAGCCCCGGGCUCAACCUGGGAACCGCGCUUGAGACUGGCAUGCUCGAGUUCGGGAGAGGAUGGUGGAAUUCCCAGUGUAGAGGUGAAAUUCGUAGAUAUUGGGAAGAACACCGAUGGCGAAGGCAGCCAUCUGGACCGACACUGACGCUGAGGCGCGAAAGCGUGGGGAGCAAACAGG